GGCGUGCUUAACACAUGCAAGUCGAACGGAAAGGCUCACAUGCUUGCWGGGGUACUCGAGUGGCGAACGGGUGAGUAACACGUGGGUGAUCUGCCCUGCACUUCGGGAUAAGCCUGGGAAACUGGGUCUAAUACCGGAUAGGACSAUGGUUUGGAUGCCRUUGUGGAAAGUUUUUUCGGUGUGGGAUGAGCUCGCGGCCUAUCAGCUUGUUGGUGGGGUAAUGGCCUACCAAGGCGUCGACGGGUAGCCGGCCUGAGAGGGUGUACGGCCACAUUGGGACUGAGAUACGGCCCAGACUCCUACGGGAGGCAGCAGUGGGGAAUAUUGCACAWUGGGCGCARGCCUGAUGCAGCGACGCCGCGUGGGGGAUGACGGCCUUCGGGUUGUAAACUCCUUUCGCUAGGGACGAAGCGUUUUGUGACGGUACCUGGAGAAGAAGCACCGGCUAACUACGUGCCAGCAGCCGCGGUAAUACGUAGGGUGCGAGCGUUGUCCGGAAUUACUGGGCGUAAAGAGCUCGUAGGUGGUUUGUCGCGUCGUUUGUGUAAGCCCGCAGCUUAACUGCGGGACUGCAGGCGAUACGGGCAUAACUUGAGUGCUGUAGGGGAGACUGGAAUUCCUGGUGUAGCGGUGGAAUGCGCAGAUAUCAGGAGGAACACCGAUGGCGAAGGCAGGUCUCUGGGCAGUAACUGACGCUGAGGAGCGAAAGCAUGGGU
Molecule: ribosomal RNA, 716 nt
Filed under: Corynebacterium sp. V17 2011154
Lineage: Bacteria; Bacillati; Actinomycetota; Actinomycetes; Mycobacteriales; Corynebacteriaceae
Description: bacterial SSU rRNA
Rfam family: Bacterial small subunit ribosomal RNA
Source: RNAcentral